This 253-nucleotide ribosomal RNA is filed under the name uncultured bacterium. Its description in RNAcentral is "partial 16S ribosomal RNA". It matches the Rfam family "Bacterial small subunit ribosomal RNA", at positions 524 to 776 of the family's 1533-position model. The record is from RNAcentral.
UACGUAGGGUGCAAGCGUUGUCCGGAAUCAUUGGGCGUAAAGCGCGCGUAGGUGGCUUCGUAAGUCCGUUGUGAAAGUCAAAGGCUCAACCUUUGAAAGCCGAUGGAUACUGCGGAGCUAGAGUACGGAAGAGGCGAGUGGAAUUCCUGGUGUAGCGGUGGAAUGCGCAGAUAUCAGGAGGAACACCAAUAGCGAAGGCAGCUCGCUGGGACGUUACUGACACUGAGGCGCGAAAGCGUGGGGAGCGAACAGG